RNAcentral lists this ribosomal RNA (420 nucleotides) under bacterium enrichment culture clone ALO1_GLFRUDD03GGP2A. RNAcentral describes it as "bacterial SSU rRNA". It matches the Rfam family "Bacterial small subunit ribosomal RNA", at positions 9 to 431 of the family's 1533-position model. The record is from RNAcentral.
GAGUUUGAUCGUGGCUCAGAUUGAACGCUGGCGGCAUGCCUUACACAUGCAAGUCGAACGGCAGCACGGGAGCUUGCUCCUGGUGGCGAGUGGCGAACGGGUGAGUAAUGCAUCGGAACGUAUCCUGGAGUGGGGGAUAACGUAGCGAAAGUUACGCUAAUACCGCAUAUUCUGUGAGCAGGAAAGCGGGGGACCUUCGGGCCUCGCGCUCUUGGAGCGGCCGAUGUCGGAUUAGCUAGUUGGUGAGGUAAAGGCUCACCAAGGCGACGAUCCGUAGCAGGUCUGAGAGGAUGAUCUGCCACACUGGAACUGAGACACGGUCCAGACUCCUACGGGAGGCAGCAGUGGGGAAUUUUGGACAAUGGGGGCAACCCUGAUCUAGCCAUGCCGCGUGAGUGAAGAAGGCCUCGGUUGUAAGAC